UCUGUACAAAAGAGAGGAUGCAGCCCUUGAAUUUACACUCCAGUAUGGGAGGCCAGACCUCCCAGAAACAUUUUCAUUUACUAGUGGAUUUAAUGAGUGCAGAACUUCCUGUUUUAAACAAACAAGUGAUUAGCAUUGACUACCAACGUGAAAAUGUAUCCUAAUGAAUUGCUAAUUGGCCUCCUCCUCUUCCUGGGGUCUUUAGCUGGGAAAUUCCCUCUCUGGCUACUGGGAGUCUUAGUCAAUCUGACUGGAAUUCAUUCACUCAUUCAUUCACCUUUUUAUUCAUUCACUCAACAGACAUUUCUUGAGGACCUACUGUGUGUCACUGUGAAUAAGACAAGCAAGAUCCCUUCCCCACAGUCUGAUGGGGAAAACAGCAUUAAUCAACUAACUUUACAAUCCUCACAAAAUGACACACUUAUAGGAUAAGGAGCUGGGACAGUGUGCAACAGGAGGACUUGUCUUUGUUCUGGGGUUGGAGUAGGGUGUCCUUCAGAGAAUGCUACCUAAAGGAAGGGACAUUUGAGCCAAGAUCUGAAGAAUAAGUAGAACUUCACUAGAAGAAAGGGGAUGGGAAAGAGUAGAAGAGUGUUUUAGACAUCUAGAACAGCAUAUGAAAAGGUCCUGUGGUGAGAGGGAGGAGGGUGAGUCUGAGGAAAAGGAAGAGGCCAGUGUGAGAGGUAUGCAAGGAGCGUGUGGUGUGUGUGUGAGAGAGAGAGAGAUGAGGCUCGGGCUUAGGCUGUUUUGUCUUCCUCCUUUGUAGUGCUGAGAGCCCAGCCCGUAUCCUCAGGUCUUACCACUUCAGUGUGUUCAAGCCAACUUCCAGCGGCCCCAGUUUGCAUCUCUUUGCCUGAGGACUUUCCCCAGAUUAGCCCUGAGCUAACUGCUGCCAAUCCUCCUCUUUUUGCUAAGACUGGCCCUGAGCUCACAUCCAUGCCCAUCUUCCUCUACUUUCUAUGUGGGAUGCCUACCACAGCAUGGCUUCCCAAGCGGUGCCAUGUCCACACCCGGGAUCCGAAAUGGCGAACCCCAGGCUGCUGAAGCGGAACAUGCACACUUAACCAUUGCGCCACCGGGCUGGCCCUGAAAGUAUUCUUUUCUUGAUUGUAAUGGUGAUUAUAUGACCAUAUGUAUUUAUCAAAACUCAUUGAAUUAUACACUUUAAAUUGGUGUUUUUAUUGUAUUUAAAUCAUAC
Molecule: long non-coding RNA, 1198 nt
Filed under: Equus caballus (horse)
Lineage: Eukaryota; Metazoa; Chordata; Mammalia; Perissodactyla; Equidae
Description: lncRNA (ENSECAG00000045669.1)
Source: RNAcentral